AUAGCGUAUAUUAAAGUUGUUGCAGUUAAAAAGCUCGUAGUUGAACUUCAGAUUUGGUCGGGUGGUCCGCUUAACGGCGUGUUACUGCUUGGCUGGGUCUUGUCUCUUGGUGAACCAUUGUGCCCUUUAUUGGUGUGCUUUGGGGAACCAGGACUUUUACCUUGAGAAAAUUAGAGUGUUCAAAGCAGGCCUAUGCCUGGAUACAUUAGCAUGGAAUAAUAGAAUAGGACGUGUGGUUCUAUUUUGUUGGUUUCUAGAAUUGCCGUAAUGAUUAAUAGGGAUAGUUGGGGGCAUUAGUAUUCAGUUGCUAGAGGUGAAAUUCUUGGAUUUACUGAAGACUAACUACUG
RNAcentral lists this ribosomal RNA (348 nucleotides) under uncultured eukaryote. RNAcentral describes it as "SSU rRNA". It matches the Rfam family "Eukaryotic small subunit ribosomal RNA", at positions 594 to 945 of the family's 1831-position model. The record is from RNAcentral.